RNAcentral lists this ribosomal RNA (252 nucleotides) under uncultured bacterium. RNAcentral describes it as "partial 16S ribosomal RNA". It matches the Rfam family "Bacterial small subunit ribosomal RNA", at positions 524 to 776 of the family's 1533-position model. The record is from RNAcentral.
UACGGAGGAUGCGAGCGUUAUCCGGAUUUAUUGGGUUUAAAGGGUGCGUAGGCGGAUCGUUAAGUCAGUGGUCAAAUUGAGGGGCUCAACCCCUUCCCGCCAUUGAAACUGGCGAUCUUGAGUGGAAGAGAAGUACGCGGAAUGCGUGGUGUAGCGGUGAAAUGCAUAGAUAUCACGCAGAACUCCGAUUGCGAAGGCAGCGUACCGGCAUCCAACUGACGCUGAGGCACGAAAGCGUGGGGAUCAAACAGG